Molecule: long non-coding RNA, 660 nt
Filed under: Equus caballus (horse)
Lineage: Eukaryota; Metazoa; Chordata; Mammalia; Perissodactyla; Equidae
Description: lncRNA (ENSECAG00000056700.1)
Source: RNAcentral
GCCAAGGCUGGGUCUCCUACCUGAGAGUUUUCUCCUCCAUGCUACAGCCACACCAUGUCCAUUCAGUCAAUGUUCCAUGAUAGCAUGAAGCAUGUCACAUUUCGGCCUCAAGUCAACAAGUAUCCACUGGGUGCCGAGGGCAUGUGUUAUACACACUUACUUCAUCAGCGGUUUUAAGAAGACAGCCCGUGUCUCAAAAGCUCCCACUCUCCCCUGGAAGGCUACAGGACAUUUUAAAGGCUGAAAUAUUUAAAUGAAGAAAAUAAAGAGUAAAAAAAUUGGUUUGGAAGAAUCCAAUCAGACUGCAAGAUUUCUGCAAUCCUGGGGAAAAUCCUUGGAAGGCUGGAGGAGCUCAGAGCUGCCGACCAGGAGCAGAGCUGUUCAGGAAGGAGACAGUGAGUGAGUGAAGCUGGGUAUUGAUGCUUGGGGAGGGUUUCUUGGAAACUUCAUGGACAAUGUAUAUCUUAUCCUUGAUUAUAUCUCCCUUGCUGCUUGGGUUAUUGAGAAAGUUCAAAGUCAGCUUUGAAACCAGGACUAAGUAACCCAGGGAAUAUGGCCAAUUACUAAAGGCAGGGGUUGAUCCUGGAAGGUGUAUUGUAAGGCCUAAAAUUUCACAGGCAGCCUUGACAUCCUUGAGCUUCACAGAGACCCAAAGACCUA